This 521-nucleotide long non-coding RNA is filed under the name Bos indicus x Bos taurus (hybrid cattle). RNAcentral's name for it is "lncRNA (ENSBIXG00005013360.1)". The record is from RNAcentral. Lineage: Eukaryota; Metazoa; Chordata; Mammalia; Artiodactyla; Bovidae.
UGCAGAGCUCAGAGCAUGACUGAGCAGAUCUCCCUUAGGUUCUCUGCAUGGUAUCAUGCCUGUCCCUGCUGGACCUGCCAGUAUAUCUGCAUCUGACCAAGCCUGGAUGCCCAGCCUUGAGCGCAGUCAGGAUGGGAAGAUGUGCCUGGGCUUCCACAGUGCCUCUGUGAAAGAAAAACUGAGACAAAAAAGAAAAACUGAGACGUUUCCUCCAAGACGUUCCUGCUCUCAGAAGGGGAAGGAGAGGAUGAUAACUCCCAUCUCCAGGUCUGUUUUUGAGACCAUUCUGAGAUUUGCAGUUUGUGAAGCAUAUGGAAGGACUUUGCAAAGUGCAGACAGUGGACGUGGGAACUCUUCAUCUUCCGGGUAGACCUGUGCUCCUUUAGAAGGAACGUCAAGAGGAUGGCAAACCACUGGUACAAAGACCCUCAUUCUCUCAAAUAUCGACAUGGGCUCAAUUUACAAGCGGAUUAAAACGUUAAGAGAAAAUAAAGAGGAAUAUAAUUAUUAACUGUGUGCCA